GUCUACAGCCAAACUACCCUGAAUGCACCUGAUCUCGUCUAAUCUCAAAAGCUGAGCAUGGUCGGAUCUGGUUAGCACUUGUAUGGGAGACCACCUGGGAAUACUCGGUGCUGUAGGCU
Cercocebus atys (sooty mangabey) is the source of this 119-nucleotide ribosomal RNA. The record is from Ensembl. Lineage: Eukaryota; Metazoa; Chordata; Mammalia; Primates; Cercopithecidae.